UGGGGAAUAUUGCGCAAUGGGGGAAACCCUGACGCAGCGACGCCGCGUGAGCGAAGAAGGCCUUAGGGUUGUAAAGCUCUGUUUUAAGGGACGAAUGUUCAUGGGAGUAAUAUGCCUAUGAAAUGACGGUACCUUAAGAGGAAGCCCCGGCUAACUACGUGCCAGCAGCCGCGGUAAGACGUAGGGGGCGAGCGUUGUCCGGAAUUACUGGGCGUAAAGAGCACGUAGGCGGGAACUUAAGUCAGGUGUGAAAGACCGGGGCUCAACCUCGGGUAUGCACUUGAAACUGGGUUUCUUGAGGGCAGGAGAGGAAAGCAGAAUUCCUGGUGUAGCGUUGAAAUGCGUAGAAAUCAGGAGGAAUACCAGUGGCGAAGGCGGCUUUCUGGACUGACCCUGACGCUGAGGUGCGAAAGCGUGGGUAGCAAACAG
This 429-nucleotide ribosomal RNA is filed under the name uncultured bacterium. Its description in RNAcentral is "bacterial SSU rRNA". It matches the Rfam family "Bacterial small subunit ribosomal RNA", at positions 355 to 775 of the family's 1533-position model. The record is from RNAcentral.